RNAcentral lists this long non-coding RNA (483 nucleotides) under Elaeis guineensis (African oil palm). RNAcentral describes it as "long non-coding RNA (EGUI_LNC014859)". Lineage: Eukaryota; Viridiplantae; Streptophyta; Magnoliopsida; Arecales; Arecaceae. The record is from RNAcentral.
GUUGCAAUAGAAAACAAUCAAAUACAUAGACCAGUCAAAAAAAAUUUCACCUUCAAGAAGCAUGCAAACUUCACUAUGAGAAAAAGAAAUAUUAUAAGAGAAGAUCUCAUCCUCAAUCCUCAUACACUCAAUCUCUCAAUUCCUGAAAUGACUGUUGUAUGCUUUCCAAGAACACUGCUCUUGCUCUUCUCAGCAUCGCAUCACCUCUCUAUUCUCUCUCUGGGUUUUCUGCCCGAUGAAACCGCGCCCACGCCACCAUAUUCUAUUUCUGUUUACGCACAGGCCUUAUAAAGGCUUAAAAAACAAAACAAAUAGGAAUAGAAUUCCUUACAACACCCGGAUAACUCUUCUGAACCGUCGGAUCGAGGCCAGCAACGUCCCAGACCACCGGAUCGCGUGUUGGUCUAUGGAAUAAGAUGUGGAUCGCAAGAAACACGCAUGAAACGCGCGUGAAACGCCACGCGGUCCACGGUGGACCACAAA